RNAcentral lists this ribosomal RNA (460 nucleotides) under uncultured bacterium. Its description in RNAcentral is "partial 16S ribosomal RNA". It matches the Rfam family "Bacterial small subunit ribosomal RNA", at positions 338 to 795 of the family's 1533-position model. The record is from RNAcentral.
CCUACGGGGGGCAGCAGGGAGGAAUAUUGGUCAAUGGGCGCGAGCCUGAACCAGCCAAGUAGCGUGAAGGAUGACUGCCCUACGGGUUGUAAACUUCUUUUAUAAAGGAAUAAAGUGAGGCACGUGUGCCUUUGUGGAUGUACUUUAUGAAUAAGAAUCGGCUAACUCCGUGCCAGCAGCCGCGGUAAUACGGAGGAUCCGAGCGUUAUCCGGAUUUAUUGGGUUUAAGGGGAGCGUAGACGGGUUGUUAAGUCAGUUGUGAAAGUUUGAGGCGCAACCCUAAAAGUGCAAUUGAUACUGGCAGUCUUGAGUACAGUUGAGGUAUGCGGAAUUCGUGGUGUAGCGGUGAAAUGCUUAGAUAUCACGAAGAACUCCGAUUGCGAAGGCAGCUUACCAAACUGCCACUGACAUUGAUGCUCGAAAGUGUGGGUAUCAAACAGGAUUAGAUACCCCUGUAGUC